GGUGAGGUGUCCGAGUGGCCGAUGGAGUUGGUCUUGAAAACCAAUGUAGCGGAUUUCCGUUACCGUGGGUUCGAAUCCCACCCUCACCG
Molecule: transfer RNA, 89 nt
Filed under: Candidatus Woesebacteria bacterium
Lineage: Bacteria; Candidatus Woeseibacteriota
Description: tRNA-Ser
Rfam family: tRNA
About the family: Transfer RNA (tRNA) molecules are approximately 80 nucleotides in length. Their secondary structure includes four short double-helical elements and three loops (D, anti-codon, and T loops).
Source: RNAcentral